Molecule: ribosomal RNA, 394 nt
Filed under: Pseudomonas aeruginosa
Lineage: Bacteria; Pseudomonadati; Pseudomonadota; Gammaproteobacteria; Pseudomonadales; Pseudomonadaceae
Description: bacterial SSU rRNA
Rfam family: Bacterial small subunit ribosomal RNA
Source: RNAcentral
AUUGAACGCUGGCGGCAGGCCUAACACAUGCAAGUCGAGCGGAUGAAGGGAGCUUGCUCCUGGAUUCAGCGGCGGACGGGUGAGUAAUGCCUAGGAAUCUGCCUGGUAGUGGGGGAUAACGUCCGGAAACGGGCGCUAAUACCGCAUACGUCCUGAGGGAGAAAGUGGGGGAUCUUCGGACCUCACGCUAUCAGAUGAGCCUAGGUCGGAUUAGCUAGUUGGUGGGGUAAAGGCCUACCAAGGCGACGAUCCGUAACUGGUCUGAGAGGAUGAUCAGUCACACUGGAACUGAGACACGGUCCAGACUCCUACGGGAGGCAGCAGUGGGGAAUAUUGGACAAUGGGCGAAAGCCUGAUCCAGCCAUGCCGCGUGUGUGAAGAAGGUCUUCGGAUU